RNAcentral lists this small nuclear RNA (250 nucleotides) under Erinaceus europaeus (western European hedgehog). RNAcentral describes it as "7SK RNA". It matches the Rfam family "7SK RNA", at positions 127 to 331 of the family's 331-position model. From Rfam's summary of the family: 7SK was discovered as an abundant small nuclear RNA in the mid-70s but a possible function has only recently been suggested. Two independent studies have found that 7SK RNA binds the CDK9/cyclin T complex (known as elongation factor P-TEFb). P-TEFb activates transcription by phosphorylating the C-terminal domain of RNA polymerase II. Lineage: Eukaryota; Metazoa; Chordata; Mammalia; Eulipotyphla; Erinaceidae. The record is from Rfam by way of RNAcentral.
GUAUUUGUAAUUAAAAAUAUUGCCAUAAAAGAAAAUACCAGCAAUCAAAUCAGAGACACUCGGUGGAAGAGGACGGCCUUCCCAGAAUAGAUAUGGACCGGUCUUUAAUUGAGGGUAUAAAUGCAGCUGUAUUCCCCUGCUAGAACCACCAAACAAGCUCUCAAGAAACAAAGCAAAGGAAGGGAAGCCAGCAGGUGAGCACACAUCUUAAAUGCACAAAGACCUUGGUUUGAGCCCCAGGAUACCAUGU